Molecule: transfer-messenger RNA, 347 nt
Filed under: Streptococcus pacificus
Lineage: Bacteria; Bacillati; Bacillota; Bacilli; Lactobacillales; Streptococcaceae
Description: Standard tmRNA
Rfam family: transfer-messenger RNA
About the family: Bacterial tmRNA, also known as 10Sa RNA or SsrA, is named for its dual tRNA and mRNA-like properties. Its role is to liberate the mRNA from a stalled ribosome. To accomplish this part of the tmRNA is used as a reading frame that ends in a translation stop signal.
Source: RNAcentral
GGGGUCGUUACGGAUUCGACAGGCAUUAUGAGGCCUAUUUUGCAACCCAUCGGCAGAUGUAAAAUGCCAGUUAAAUAUAACUGCAAAAAAUAACACAACUUACGCUGUAGCUGCCUAAAAACCAGCUCUCGUGGCUUUUAUGAGAUUGCUUACGUCUCAUUAAAAGUCUUAAAAUAGUAAGCUACGUGUGAUUAUUGUCUAGCUAAUCAUAAAGAGACUAAUAGACUCGCUGAUUUUUGGCUUGAGCUAUGUGUCAUUAAUUAGUCAAAAUAAGACAUAGCCUAUGGUUGUAGACAAAUAUGUUAGCAGAUGUUUGGACGUGGGUUCGACUCCCACCGGCUCCAUUA